RNAcentral lists this ribosomal RNA (253 nucleotides) under uncultured bacterium. RNAcentral describes it as "partial 16S ribosomal RNA". It matches the Rfam family "Bacterial small subunit ribosomal RNA", at positions 524 to 776 of the family's 1533-position model. The record is from RNAcentral.
UACGGAGGGUCCAAGCGUUAUCCGGAAUCAUUGGGUUUAAAGGGUCCGUAGGCGGUUUUUUAAGUCAGUGGUUAAAGCCCAUCGCUCAACGGUGGAACGGCCAUUGAUACUGCAAGACUUGAAUUAUUAGGAAGUAACUAGAAUAUGUAGUGUAGCGGUGAAAUGCUUAGAGAUUACAUGGAAUACCAAUUGCGAAGGCAGGUUACUACUAAUGGAUUGACGCUGAUGGACGAAAGCGUGGGGAGCGAACAGG